Molecule: ribosomal RNA, 440 nt
Filed under: uncultured bacterium
Lineage: Bacteria
Description: partial 16S ribosomal RNA
Rfam family: Bacterial small subunit ribosomal RNA
Source: RNAcentral
CCUACGGGAGGCAGCAGUGGGGAAUAUUGGACAAUGGGGGAGACCCUGAUCCAGCGACGCAGCGUGAGUGAAGAAGUCCCUCGGUAUGUAAAGCUCUAUCAGUAAGGAAGAAAAUGACGGUACCUGAUUAAGAAGCCCCGGAGAACUCCGUGCCGGCAGCCGCGGUAAGACGUAGGGGGCAAGCGUUAUCCGGAUUUACUGGGUGUAAAGGGAGCGUAGACGGGAGCACAAGUCUGGAGUGAAAUGGUGGGGCUUAACCCCGGAACUUCUUUGGAUACUGUACAUCUUGAGUGCAGUAGAGGUAAGUGGAAUUCCUGGUGUAGCGGUGAAAUGCGUAGAUAUUAGGAAGAACACCAAUUGCGAAGGCAGCUUACUGGACUGUAACUGACGUUGAGGCUCGAAAGCGUGGGGAGCAAACAGGAUUAGAUACCCGGGUAGUC